AAUAUUGCACAAUGGGCGCAAGCCUGAUGCAGCCAUGCCGCGUGUGUGAAGAAGGCCUUCGGGUUGUAAAGCACUUUCAGCGGGGAGGAAGGCGGUGAGGUUAAUAACCUCACCGAUUGACGUUACCCGCAGAAGAAGCACCGGCUAACUCCGUGCCAGCAGCCGCGGUAAUACGGAGGGUGCAAGCGUUAAUCGGAAUUACUGGGCGUAAAGCGCACGCAGGCGGUCUGUCAAGUCGGAUGUGAAAUCCCCGGGCUCAACCUGGGAACUGCAUUCGAAACUGGCAGGCUAGAGUCUUGUAGAGGGGGGUAGAAUUCCAGGUGUAGCGGUGAAAUGCGUAGAG
Molecule: ribosomal RNA, 343 nt
Filed under: Mycobacterium kumamotonense
Lineage: Bacteria; Bacillati; Actinomycetota; Actinomycetes; Mycobacteriales; Mycobacteriaceae
Description: Mycolicibacter kumamotonensis bacterial SSU rRNA
Rfam family: Bacterial small subunit ribosomal RNA
Source: RNAcentral